RNAcentral lists this ribosomal RNA (917 nucleotides) under Oedaleus infernalis. Its description in RNAcentral is "SSU rRNA". It matches the Rfam family "Eukaryotic small subunit ribosomal RNA", at positions 44 to 871 of the family's 1831-position model. The record is from RNAcentral. Lineage: Eukaryota; Metazoa; Arthropoda; Insecta; Orthoptera; Acrididae.
AUUAGCCAUGCAUGUCUCAGUACAAGCCGCAUUAAGGUGAAACCGCGAAUGGCUCAUUAAAUCAGUUAUGGUUCCUUAGAUCGUACCCACGUUACUUGGAUAACUGUGGUAAUUCUAGAGCUAAUACAUGCAAACAGAGUCCCGACCAGAGAUGGGAGGGACGCUUUUAUUAGAUCAAAACCAAUCGGUCGGCUCGUCCGGUCCGUUUGCCUUGGUGACUCUGAAUAACUUUGGGCUGAUCGCACGGUCUCCGUACCGGCGACGCAUCUUUCAAAUGUCUGCCUUAUCAACUGUCGAUGGUAGGUUCUGCGCCUACCAUGGUUGUAACGGGUAACGGGGAAUCAGGGUUCGAUUCCGGAGAGGGAGCCUGAGAAACGGCUACCACAUCCAAGGAAGGCAGCAGGCGCGCAAAUUACCCACUCCCGGCACGGGGAGGUAGUGACGAAAAAUAACGAUACGGGACUCAUCCGAGGCCCCGUAAUCGGAAUGAGUACACUUUAAAUCCUUUAACGAGUAUCUAUUGGAGGGCAAGUCUGGUGCCAGCAGCCGCGGUAAUUCCAGCUCCAAUAGCGUAUAUUAAAGUUGUUGCGGUUAAAAAGCUCGUAGUUGGAUUUGUGUCCCACGCUGUUGGUUCACCGCCCGUCGGUGUUUAACUGGCAUGUAUCGUGGGACGUCCUGCCGGUGGGGCGAGCCGAAAGCGCGCGGCCGCCUCGUGCGUGCCCGUGCGUCCCGAGGCGGACCCCGUUGAAAUCCUACCGCGGUGCUCUUUACCGAGUGUCGAGGUGGGCCGGCACGUUUACUUUGAACAAAUUAGAGUGCUUAAAGCAGGCAAGCCCGCCUGAAUACUGUGUGCAUGGGAAUAAUGGAUAGGACCUCGGUUCUAUUUUUGUUGGGUUUUCGGACCCGAGGUAUGAUUA